Molecule: ribosomal RNA, 771 nt
Filed under: uncultured Vagococcus sp.
Lineage: Bacteria; Bacillati; Bacillota; Bacilli; Lactobacillales; Enterococcaceae
Description: bacterial SSU rRNA
Rfam family: Bacterial small subunit ribosomal RNA
Source: RNAcentral
GACGAACGCUGGCGGCGUGCAUAAUACAUGCAAGUCGAACGCACGAAGUUGAAGAGCUUGCUCUUUAACCAAGUGAGUGGCGGACGGGUGAGUAACACGUGGGUAACCUGCCCAUUAGAGGGGGAUAACAUUCGGAAACGGAUGCUAAUACCGCAUAGUUUCAGGGAUCGCAUGAUUCUUGAAGGAAAGGUGGCUCCGGCUACCACUAAUGGAUGGACCCGCGGCGUAUUAGCUAGUUGGUGAGGUAAUGGCUCACCAAGGCAAUGAUACGUAGCCGACCUGAGAGGGUGAUCGGCCACACUGGGACUGAGACACGGCCCAGACUCCUACGGGAGGCAGCAGUAGGGAAUCUUCCGCAAUGGACGAAAGUCUGACGGAGCAACGCCGCGUGAGUGAAGAAGGUUUUCGGAUCGUAAAACUCUGUUGUUAAAGAAGAACAAGGAUGAGAGUAACUGCUCAUCCCCUGACGGUAUUUAACCAGAAAGCCACGGCUAACUACGUGCCAGCAGCCGCGGUAAUACGUAGGUGGCAAGCGUUGUCCGGAUUUAUUGGGCGUAAAGCGAGCGCAGGCGGUUCUUUAAGUCUGAUGUGAAAGCCCCCGGCUCAACCGGGGAGGGUCAUUGGAAACUGGAGAACUUGAGUGCAGAAGAGGAGAGUGGAAUUCCACGUGUAGCGGUGAAAUGCGUAGAUAUGUGGAGGAACACCAGUGGCGAAGGCGACUCUCUGGCCUGUAACUGACGCUGAGGCUCGAAAGCGUGGGGAGCAAACAGG